This is a long non-coding RNA of Drosophila arizonae, 182 nucleotides long. Lineage: Eukaryota; Metazoa; Arthropoda; Insecta; Diptera; Drosophilidae. The record is from RefSeq and is a predicted model, not a curated record.
UUGAGAUGCUUAACCAGCUGAUCGUGAUAGUAUUUUAUGAAGUAGUCAAAGUAAGUUAGCUUGUAAUUCAUGUCCACUGAGGUCAUAAUGAAGUAUAAAAGAUCCUGUGUAGGAUGACCAUAUCUGGGAUUUUGGAAAUCCACAAAAAGCAUAUCCUGCACCUUUCCAGACUGAUCAAAUUU